UUAAAUGGAUGAGGUAUAAACUCAAGGAAUAGCAUUGGUCCAGUUGAAAUAGCUCAGAUUUUAAUAGCAAGUUAAGACUAUUUAAAUUCAAAAAAGGCUCAACUUUCUUCCAAUAGUUUUGAUAACCUAAGAUGCUAUCAAAAUGAAAUAACAAACUUUCAAAGAUUCCUAGGAUUUCAGACUCAAGACGGUUUAUUACUGGAAAAAACCCAAUCAAUGUGCAAUUCCUUUGGGCAGUUGUUUUAAUAGAUAGCAGAGGAAUAUUGACAACACUUUGAAGACACAUAUCAAGUAAAUAUAUACUAUCUUCCUUUUUCCUAUAUACUGGUGGAUCAAACUCAAUAAUGUUCCUUUGGAUAGUCAAGUUCGUUGGUUUUAAAAAACCUCUCAGCUUUUCAUACAUAUCAGAAGAAAAUUUACUUUUAAGAUCAUUGUUCUCGUUACCCGAUGUUAAAAUGGUUGUUUUAAAAAAUGAAAGAAAUUUCCGGCAGCGAGAUAUUAAAAGAUCCUGAAACCGUAGGUUAAGCGCUCGGACAAAAGGUGGUAAAUUGGAAUAACCAUUUACAUAAAGAAGAUCAAUGAGAUCCUGUAGCUUUCUUUGAAUAGUUAAAAAGAUAUCGCCACUAUAUUCGCAAAUGUCCAACUGAAACAACUGUUCUUGUAUUUGCAUAUAAGUGUGUGAAAUAGCAUUUCGUUUAUUCAUUAGAAGACUGGUAAGGGAACUGAAUUGAUAAGCAUAAUUUUCAACAUUAGGAUG
Non-coding RNA from Schizosaccharomyces pombe (fission yeast), 757 nucleotides. The record is from the annotation of a GenBank genome assembly. Lineage: Eukaryota; Fungi; Ascomycota; Schizosaccharomycetes; Schizosaccharomycetales; Schizosaccharomycetaceae.